Non-coding RNA from Crucibulum laeve, 95 nucleotides. The record is from the annotation of a GenBank genome assembly. NCBI's taxonomy places the organism in Eukaryota, Fungi, Basidiomycota, Agaricomycetes, Agaricales, Nidulariaceae.
GCCCGUUUAGCUCAGUGGUAGAGCGCGCCACUCGUAAGAACUUAAAAAGCGUCAAGUCGAUGGUGAGGUCGGUUGUUCAAUCCAGCCAAUGGGCA